Ictidomys tridecemlineatus (thirteen-lined ground squirrel) is the source of this 119-nucleotide ribosomal RNA. The record is from Ensembl. NCBI's taxonomy places the organism in Eukaryota, Metazoa, Chordata, Mammalia, Rodentia, Sciuridae.
GUCCAUGGCCAUUCCACUCUAAAUGUGCCCAAUCUCAUCUGAUCUCAGAACCUAAGCAGGGUUGGGCCUGGUUAGUACUUAGACAGGAGAGACAGAGAAUAGACAUACAGACAUAGACA